UUAAUAUCUGAUAUGUGGGCC
RNAcentral lists this non-coding RNA (21 nucleotides) under Arabidopsis thaliana (thale cress). The record is from RNAcentral. Lineage: Eukaryota; Viridiplantae; Streptophyta; Magnoliopsida; Brassicales; Brassicaceae.